This 208-nucleotide long non-coding RNA is filed under the name Nicotiana benthamiana. RNAcentral describes it as "long non-coding RNA (NBEN_LNC039620)". Lineage: Eukaryota; Viridiplantae; Streptophyta; Magnoliopsida; Solanales; Solanaceae. The record is from RNAcentral.
UAGUUUCUAGGCCUUCAUCACAUUCACAUUUUUCGGUCUACAUUGCAAAUAUGCGAUCGCAUUUUGCAUCACCGUUUCUACCUUCUACAACCUUCAUGACCAGUUUGCGCUUCAUUAUGCGGCCCGUAAACACGUUAUGCGAUCACAGAUUGGACCACAUUUCUUGCACUGGACAUUGGCCAUCUAACUUAGGGGUAUGCAUUCGAAU